CAGCCGCCGCGGUAAUACGUAGGUGGCAAGCGUUGUCCGGAAUUAUUGGGCGUAAAGGGCUCGCAGACGGUUUCUUAAGUCUGAUGUGAAAGCCCCCGGCUCAACCGGGGAGGGUCAUUGGAAACUGGGAAACUUGAGUGCAGAAGAGGAGAGUGGAAUUCCACGUGUAGCGGUGAAAUGCGUGGAGAUGUGGAGGAACACCAGUGGCGAAGGCGUCUCUCUGGUCUGUAACUGACGCUGAGGAGCGAAAGCGUGGGGAGCGAACAGGAUUAGAUACCCCUGUAGUCCCUGUCUCUUAUAC
This 301-nucleotide ribosomal RNA is filed under the name uncultured bacterium. Its description in RNAcentral is "partial 16S ribosomal RNA". It matches the Rfam family "Bacterial small subunit ribosomal RNA", at positions 509 to 807 of the family's 1533-position model. The record is from RNAcentral.